GAGUCAAAUGAACCCCCUUACCCGAAUCUCUGGUGUAGACUUAGUUUUAGAGUCUUAAGUAUUUCGAAAGGAAAAUUACUAUUUUUGGAAAACGGCGACCUGACACACCGAAAUCAAAUGUCAGGUGGAGACUCUGAGUUAAUCCUUUUGAACACCAUUUUUGUCACUUUUAAUUGAAAAUCCUCUUCAACCUUUUAUUAAAUCCUUUUAUUUAUUUAAAUGGGUUUAGUGAGUUUUUUUAAAAAGGUUGUGACAUCUCUGGCGACUCUGCUAGGGAGUUGCAGGUUCGAGCUAGUACUUGAUCUUGUUGGCUUUUAGGAUUUUCGGUUGAGGUUUUGCGUGUUUUGUUUGCUUCAUUUGAUUUCUAUUUUUGUUCGUGUCGUUUAUUUUCUAGUUGGUUACUUGUUUACGUAUUUUUGCUUUAUGUGUUUACUGCUUAAUAAGUGUCAUCUUUUGCAUAACCCCGAAUCUUCUUUCUGCAACAAGUCUUCCGAAGUACAUUUGAGCAUACACGGCCUUUUUGUGAGUCACCGCGUGUCUUUAGG
Molecule: long non-coding RNA, 545 nt
Filed under: Nicotiana benthamiana
Lineage: Eukaryota; Viridiplantae; Streptophyta; Magnoliopsida; Solanales; Solanaceae
Description: long non-coding RNA (NBEN_LNC041981)
Source: RNAcentral